UCUUCUAUUUCAGCAACUGGUUUUUUGGUCGGUGGUGUAUUCUCCUUAGUUCUUUUCAAGAGAAGAACAUGGCCAAUCGCAUUUGGAGUAGGAACAGGCUUUGGAAUGGGAUACAGCAAUGCAGAAAAUGAUUUCCAGAACAAAAAUGCUGCAUUAUUAAAAAGACUACAGAAGGUGCCUGCCAGCACGUGAUGAUUGCCAUUUAAUGACAUUUGAUUCAAGUAAUAUUGGUUGCUAUAUUGUAUGUACAUGUGUGACUGUGAUCAGAGAUGUGAAUAAAGUAAUUUCAGUCA
Saccostrea cuccullata (small rock oyster) is the source of this 293-nucleotide long non-coding RNA. RefSeq lists it as uncharacterized. NCBI's taxonomy places the organism in Eukaryota, Metazoa, Mollusca, Bivalvia, Ostreida, Ostreidae. The transcript is spliced from 3 exons. The record is from RefSeq and is a predicted model, not a curated record.